AUUCCAGCUCCAAUAGCUUAUAUUAAAUUUGUUGCGGUUAAAAAGCUCUUAGUUGGAUUUCUGCCGAGGACGACCGGUCCGCCAUGCGGGUGAGUAUCUGGGACGACCUGGGCAUAUUCUUGGAGAACGUGUCUGCACUUGACUGUGUGGUGCGGUAUCCAGGAUUUUUACGUUGAGGAAAUUACAAUGUUUCAAGCAGGCCCACGCCGUGAAUACAUUAGCAUGGAAUAAUAAGAUAGGACCUCGGUUCUAUUUUGUUGGUUUCUGGAGCUGAGGUAAUGAUUAAUGAAGAUAAUUGGGUGCAUUCUUAUUUAAUUGUCAGAAUUGAAAUUCUUGGAUUUGUUAAAGACGGAUUACUGCGAAAGCAUUUGCCACGGAUGUUUUCAUCG
This 389-nucleotide ribosomal RNA is filed under the name Torodinium sp. Its description in RNAcentral is "partial small subunit ribosomal RNA". It matches the Rfam family "Eukaryotic small subunit ribosomal RNA", at positions 582 to 975 of the family's 1831-position model. The record is from RNAcentral. Lineage: Eukaryota; Dinophyceae; Torodiniales; Torodiniaceae.